AUGUUUAACGACUUCAUUGCCGACCUUGCCCUCCGGGAGAUUGAUCGGGUUGGGGCCCGUUUUACUUGGACCAACCGCCAAGCCUCCCCGACCCUCUCCGUCUUGGACAGGGUCCUAGUUUCCCCCGAGUGGGACCUCCGGUGCCCCUUAGCCUCUCUUCGUGCCAUCACCCGGAUUGGGUCGGAUCACGUCCCCUUGCUUCUCUCCUCCGCGGACGAGCGUCCUCCGAUCCCCCCUCGGUUCCGCUUUGAGACCUUCUGGCUCUCCCAGGCCGGAUUCUCCGAUGCCGUCAGUGCUCGUUGGAUCGAGGCUCGUGCCCACCCCCACCCCCACCCUCCUUCCGCCAUAGACGCGUGGCACUUCUGUGCGAAGCGUGCCCGGCAAUUUAUGAAGGGGUGGGGAGCCAACCUGGGCCGUGACACCAGGGAGCGUAAGAAGGCGUUGCUGACUGCGAUCCAGGCCCUCGACUUUAGGGCUGACGCGGUCGGUCUCUCUCCGGACGAGUGGUUGUCCCGCUAUGACCUCGAGGACCAGCUCUCCGUGAUCUACACUGAUGAGGAGGCCUAUUGGCGUAUUCGGGGCGCUCAGCGUUGGGUCUUGAAGGGUGAUGCGAAUACGGCUUACUUCCAGGCGAUCGCCAACGGACGUCGUAGACGCAACACCAUCCCCUGCCUUUGGGAUGGAGCCACUCUCCUUCAGGAUCCCCGGGACAUUCGCGCCCAUGUUGAUGGUUUCUAUCAUUCCCUCUUCUCCCCCGCUCCUUGGAGCGGUCUCUCUCUUGCCCUUGACUGCUGGACCGGCGCCCAUCUGGUUUCUGACGAAGAUAAUGCAUCCCUGACGGCCCCCUUCUCUGAACAAGAGGUCUGGGAGGCCAUCAAGGGUAUGAACCCCUCCUCGGCGCCGGGCCCUGACGGUCUUCCGGUUAUCUUCUUCCAGUCCUUCUGGAACGUGAUUAAACCUGAGAUCUUGGCCAUCUUCGAGGAAUUCUUCGUGGGCUCGAUUGACCUUGGCCGCCUCAACUUUGGGACCAUCUCCCUCAUCCCCAAGGUCCCUGGGGCGACGGACAUCCGCCAGUUCCGCCCAAUUACGGUCAUCAACGUGAUCUUCCAGAUCCUGGCCAAGGGGUACGCCAAUAGGGUGACCCUGCUUGCAGACCGGAUUACUCACCCUAACCAAUUUGCGUUCAUUAAGGGCCGGUACAUCCUAGAUGGUGUCCUGGUCCUGCACGAGGUCCUUCAUGAAGUCCGGGUCAAACACCUGAAGGCGGUCUUUCUGAAGAUCGAUUUUCACAAAGCCUAUGACACGGUUAGCUGGUCCUUCCUUAGGGAAGUUCUUCUGUGA
Molecule: ribosomal RNA, 1341 nt
Filed under: Triticum aestivum (bread wheat)
Lineage: Eukaryota; Viridiplantae; Streptophyta; Magnoliopsida; Poales; Poaceae
Description: partial small subunit ribosomal RNA
Source: RNAcentral